GGCUCAGGAUGAACGCUAGCUACAGGCUUAACACAUGCAAGUCGAGGGCAGCGGGAUUGAAGCUUGCUUCAAUUGCCGGCGACCGGCGCACGGGUGAGUAACGCGUAUCCAACCUUCCGUACACUCAGGGAUAGCCUUUCGAAAGAAAGAUUAAUACCUGAUGGUAUGACGAGAUUGCAUGAUAGCAUCAUUAAAGAUUUAUCGGUGUACGAUGGGGAUGCGUUCCAUUAGGUAGUAGGCGGGGUAACGGCCCACCUAGCCAACGAUGGAUAGGGGUUCUGAGAGGAAGGUCCCCCACAUUGGAACUGAGACACGGUCCAAACUCCUACGGGAGGCAGCAGUGAGGAAUAUUGGUCAAUGGACGAGAGUCUGAACCAGCCAAGUAGCGUGAAGGAUGAAGGUCCUACGGAUUGUAAACUUCUUUUAUAAGGGAAUAAACCCUCCCACGUGUGGGAGCUUGUAUGUACCUUAUGAAUAAGCAUCGGCUAACUCCGUG
Molecule: ribosomal RNA, 496 nt
Filed under: uncultured bacterium
Lineage: Bacteria
Description: bacterial SSU rRNA
Rfam family: Bacterial small subunit ribosomal RNA
Source: RNAcentral